This is a long non-coding RNA of Magnolia sinica, 1773 nucleotides long. RefSeq lists it as uncharacterized. The transcript has 6 exons. NCBI's taxonomy places the organism in Eukaryota, Viridiplantae, Streptophyta, Magnoliopsida, Magnoliales, Magnoliaceae. The record is from RefSeq and is a predicted model, not a curated record.
AAGAGACUAGACGUGCGCACUCUAGACGAAAUGAAAACGUUGAUACUAAAAGUGCAUGCCAUGAGCCAACUGAAAGCAUAGAUAUAGAAACAACACACCUCGAGCCUAUUGAAAAAGAAGUUACUUUUGUUAAUAGCCAGAGUUCACAAACUGUAAGUGAGAUUAAAGUAAAGCCUCGAGUUGGGGGCAGCCGUCGUGUGUAUCAAAAUCCGCUGGAUAAAGUAUGGAAGAAAAAAUCUCGUACUGAAUCUGUUCAGCCACAAGCAAAUCAAGAGAGACGAGAAACUGCUCAAGCACCAAACAUAAUGCACCCUACUUCAUUUCAACCUUCAAAUUAUUCAAUUCCAUCUCCUGAACUGAGUCAUCUUAAUCAGGGUACACAUAUUGUUGUCAUGAGUCCCUCAGAAGUACCGAUAGGAUCCCAUGUAGGACCUGGUCAUCAUAUGGUGAUUGGCUACACUCCUGCCUCUAGUGGGUCCAUAAAUGCACCACUGGUUUAAUUUCGAUACCAAGCACCUCAUUUUGGCAUGUUUCAACAAAAUCUCUUCAACAUUAGACCACAGACUUCAAUUGGUACCAGUCUGAGUCGUUUUGGGAUACCUAAGAUCGGCCCUAGUGGAUCGAUUAGUGGCCCUUUGGUUGCUUGUGGCUACCAACCAAGUACAAACUUGUACAAGCAAAUUCCCUCAAGCAACCUGUAAUUGGCACAUUUACGUGAAGAUACAUCUAUAGGAAGUAUUGCAUUUCAACAGUUAUCAUCAGCACCAUGUGAUAAGAGUCAACUGUUACAGUGUGAAGAACACAACCUACGUUUGAAUAAAUAGAUUUUCUUUCCUCAAAGAACGAAAGAAAAAGAAGAAGAAAUUUUACGUUUUGUGUGCAAAAGUUUGCGAUAUUAAGGUAGGAAGGGACCGAUGCACCAUCCAUAUCCUUCAUGGGACUUUUUGAGGUGGAAAGGAUCUGAUUUUCACAAGCAUGUUUUCUCCACUUAUGUGGAAUUUUGAGAUGGAAAAUCAAAAGAGAUGUUGAUUUGGCUUCUUUGGUGGGAACUCCCAUAAUGGUAUUCAAAUGUUCAAGGCAUCCAUUAGGUGGACUACUGCAAAAAAAAAAAUCAAGGCGGUCCAUUUAGAAUGUAAAUUCUACAUGUCUGAAAUGAUGUUACAAGACGUGUAUGAGAAGAUUACAUUGCUCUUCAGCACUUUUGAGUUUUUAAGCUGCAUGUGGCUUCAUAGCUGGAAGCAGUCGUAGCCCUCAUGGCUCUCCAUGUAGGACAUGAUAUGGUUUUCAACAACAGCCCCUGUAUGUAGCAGCAGAAGCAACACGUUCUUUUCAAAUCAAUGUGGCCUUCUUUUGCUCCCUGCGGUUGUCUUGCGGUUGAUGUUGUGCAAGUUUUGGAUAGGAGCUACCCUGGUCGUUUUGUCUUGGGCUGUUGUGGGUUUGGUGUGGUCUUAUUGUGGUGUGCAGCUGGUUUGUAGGGAUGGUAGUUGGUGGGUGUCAUUGAAGAUUUAGAUCAGUUUUGGGGUGCCAGAUUGGUGGCUUGUUCUGUGGGUCUGUUAUAAUUUUUAAAUUUUUUUAGCCCUGUAUAGUUUUUUUUUUUUUUUGUACAAGUGCUCUAAAUGAUAGCCGUGACUGAUGCCCUUUUUGUUGGCGUCCGCCUAAAUAGUUGUAUAGAACAUUUCCACUCAAUAAUCUUGGGUGGUGUGCUUCCCACCUUUAGAAAAAGAAGAAGAAAGAAUGGGUAUAUAUCAAUAUGGGAAGGAUUUGGAUUUUGAA